Argiope bruennichi is the source of this 709-nucleotide long non-coding RNA. RefSeq lists it as uncharacterized. The record is from RefSeq and is a predicted model, not a curated record. The transcript has 3 exons. Lineage: Eukaryota; Metazoa; Arthropoda; Arachnida; Araneae; Araneidae.
UUUCCAUGUUUAGAAAUAUUUAUCGAUGUGUGAAAGUACUUUUACUUAUAAAAUAAGGUCUCUAGUCAGAUCCAAAAUUACUGACACUCACCUAAGGUCAGUCUUGAAAACAGUCACAUCCGGCAAGAUAUUCCCAAAGGCAAGGAAGAUAGUGACAGAGGAGAAAUGCCGAGUGUCAGCGAACAAUUACCACGUGAGUGCCAACAUUGAGACAUCGUCUAGCAAACGAUGCAGAUCGGAACAGCAUCUGUUCGUUGGCGUCUCGUGGUUGAAAGAGGGUCAUUAAAACCAAAAAGAAGGAGUGCUAAAAGCGUGGGGAGAGGUGGGGGACGUCUCUCCACAAGGAUCCAGUUUAAAUUUGACUCUCCGACAAUUGAGUAUUGUUUAAGACGAAAGAAGGCGUCUUUGUCGAUAGCAGUGGACAUUUGUGUGGCCUUCCCACUAUCUGCGCCAUGGCGAGGGCCAAUCUCGCCACCAUCUAGGUACGGCCUAAGACGACCUACACCCAAAAAUCUAGAGUUUGAAACCAAGAUUACCACAUUUAUCUUCCGGCAUUCCAUUUGAAUUUUCAGCAGUUAAAACAUAAUUCCGACCUUAUAACUAGUAGAAUAUAUCCAAUUAAAUACUGAAAUAAUUUUGUGGAUAUGAUUCUCAUUAGAAUACCAAUUAUUUCAAAACUGUAUGUUUCUGGUUUUAUACAAAUCUGGUA